RNAcentral lists this ribosomal RNA (253 nucleotides) under uncultured bacterium. Its description in RNAcentral is "partial 16S ribosomal RNA". It matches the Rfam family "Bacterial small subunit ribosomal RNA", at positions 524 to 776 of the family's 1533-position model. The record is from RNAcentral.
UACGUAGGGGGCAAGCGUUGUCCGGAAUCAUUGGGCGUAAAGAGCGUGUAGGCGGCCCGAUAAGUCCGCUGUGAAAGUCCAGGGCUCAACCCUGGAAUGCCGAUGGAUACUGUCGGGCUCGAAUCCGGAAGAGGUGAGUGGAAUUCCUGGUGUAGCGGUGAAAUGCGCAGAUAUCAGGAGGAACACCAAUGGCGAAGGCAGCUCACUGGGACGGUAUUGACGCUGAGACGCGAAAGCGUGGGGAGCAAACAGG